This 52-nucleotide ribosomal RNA is filed under the name Aspergillus oryzae. RNAcentral describes it as "partial 18S ribosomal RNA". It matches the Rfam family "Eukaryotic small subunit ribosomal RNA", at positions 1780 to 1831 of the family's 1831-position model. Lineage: Eukaryota; Fungi; Ascomycota; Eurotiomycetes; Eurotiales; Aspergillaceae. The record is from RNAcentral.
AAGAGUAAGUCGUAACAAGGUUUCCGUAGGUGAACCUGCGGAAGGAUCAUUA